UACGUAGGGACCAAGCGUUGUUCGGAUUCACUGGGCGUAAAGGGUGCGUAGGUGGCCGGGUAAGUCUGACGUGAAAUCUCCGAGCCUAACUCGGAAACUGCAUCGGAUACUAUCCGGCUUGAGGGUUGGAGGGGGGACUGGAAUACUUGGUGUAGCAGUGAAAUGCGUAGAUAUCAAGUGGAACACCAGUGGCGAAGGCGAGUCCCUGGACAACUCCUGACACUGAGGCACGAAAGCUAGGGGAGCAAACAGG
This 253-nucleotide ribosomal RNA is filed under the name uncultured bacterium. Its description in RNAcentral is "partial 16S ribosomal RNA". It matches the Rfam family "Bacterial small subunit ribosomal RNA", at positions 524 to 776 of the family's 1533-position model. The record is from RNAcentral.